This 761-nucleotide ribosomal RNA is filed under the name uncultured bacterium. Its description in RNAcentral is "bacterial SSU rRNA". It matches the Rfam family "Bacterial small subunit ribosomal RNA", at positions 55 to 867 of the family's 1533-position model. The record is from RNAcentral.
AUGCAAGUCGAGCGAUAUAGCGGCGAACGGGUGAGUAACACGUUGGAACCUGCCCCAGACUCAGGGAUAGCCCACCGAAAGGUGGAUUAAUACCGGAUAGUCCUGAAAGGGUAAAGAUUUAUCGGUCUGGGAGGGGCCUGCGGCCUAUCAGCUUGUUGGUGAGGUAAAAGCUUACCAAGGCUACGACGGGUAUCGGGUGUGAGAGCAUGACCCGACACAAUGGAACUGAGACACGGUCCAUACUCCUACGGGAGGCAGCAGUGAGGAAUCUUCCGCAAUGGGCGAAAGCCUGACGGAGCGACACCGCGUGAAGGAUGAAGGCCUUUUGGUUGUAAACUUCUUUUCUGAGGGAAUAAAUGAUGAAGGUACCUCAGGAAUAAGCACCGGCUAACUACGUGCCAGCAGCCGCGGUAAUACGUAGGGUGCAAGCGUUAUCCGGAAUUAUUGGGCGUAAAGGGUUCGUAGGCGGCGAAGCAAGUUUACAGUUAAAUCUGAUGGCUCAACCAUCAAACCGCUGUGAAAACUACUUUGCUAGAGAAUGGCAGGGGCAACUGGAAUUCCACAUGUAGGGGUAAAAUCCGUUGAUAUGUGGAGGAACACCAAAAGCGAAGGCAGGUUGCUGGGUCAUUUCUGACGCUGAGGAACGAAAGCGUGGGGAGCAAACAGGAUUAGAUACCCUGGUAGUCCACGCCGUAAACGAUGGAUACUCGAUGUGGGAGGGACUCGACCCCCUUCUGUGUCUAAGCUAACGCGUUAAGUAU